RNAcentral lists this ribosomal RNA (253 nucleotides) under uncultured bacterium. Its description in RNAcentral is "partial 16S ribosomal RNA". It matches the Rfam family "Bacterial small subunit ribosomal RNA", at positions 524 to 776 of the family's 1533-position model. The record is from RNAcentral.
UACAGAGGUCUCAAGCGUUGUUCGGAUUCAUUGGGCGUAAAGGGUGCGCAGGCGGCGGGGCAAGUCGGACGUGAAAUCCCGGGGCUUAACCCCGGAACUGCGUUCGAUACUGCCUUGCUCGAGGACUGGAGAGGAGACUGGAAUUCCUGGUGUAGCAGUGAAAUGCGUAGAUAUCAGGAGGAACGCCAAUGGCGAAGGCAAGUCUCUGGACAGUUCCUGACGCUCAUGCACGAAGGCCAGGGGAGCAAACGGG